Molecule: long non-coding RNA, 2548 nt
Organism: Orcinus orca (killer whale)
Lineage: Eukaryota; Metazoa; Chordata; Mammalia; Artiodactyla; Delphinidae
Exons: 3
Source: RefSeq, a predicted model, not a curated record
UGAUACUUCUGCUGGGGACUGCUGGCACCUUUUCAUCAUCCUGGUUAGAUUGUUAAAAUAGCCUCCAUAAUUCUCCUCCCUUCUGCACACCUCCCAUACUCAGUCUGGCCUUAACCACUGACUUGCUUCACCCAAUGCGACAACAGCACAUGUGGCAAAAGCAGAACAUUGAAAAUUGCUUACGCACCUUGGGACUUGUCUUUUCUUGCUGCUGUUGGGAACCCUGCAAGCACCACCAUGUGAAUGUGCUUGGGCUGGCCUCUUUAGACACAUGGCCCAGUCAGAGCCCUCACCCCAGCUACCUACAGCAACUUCCAGCCAGCCACACACGUGAGGGAGGCUACCCUAGACCAACAAGCCCCCAGCCACCCCAUAGCUGACUGCAGCUGCAUGGGUACGCCCAGGAGUGGGCCUCUGGGUGAAAAGGCCAGGGCAGACAAACCCGUCCUGCCAGCCGAGGCCUGCCUUGGCCAGGCCGCACUGCUGCCAUUCCAGCUGAGCAAAUAUGUGGCCAGAUGAAGCCAGAGAAGGGAGUGGCAGAUGUGGGACAGAGGCGGAGGGCCCGUACCUGCUGCCCAGAGGCCAGCUUGACUCCAAGACCCCAGCAUCUGACAAGGCCUGACCUGUUUUAACAGCUCAGGUAAAGUCUGAAAAUGUUUAGCAAGAAAGGCCUACAGAGGGACACCCACUUCUCCUGCUUCAGGAACUGUCUAUUGGAAAUUGGAUCACAUCCCAUUCCACCAGGCAAGUUCGAGCUCCAUUGUUAAAUUGCAAUAGCCAAUGUGAGAUUGAUGGCUAGAGAGGAGUAUCUGUCUUCAGGAGGCUGUGGUUGUAUGAUCAAAACUAGCUCUGAGUAGGAGUGUUAAGAAAAAUCAACUGAGUAAAUCUGAAGAUCUAAUUGGUUUUAUUCAACAAGUCAUGAAUUAGGCAGCAUCCCGUCUAGUAAGUAGAAAGGAGCUCUCUUAAUAUUUAUUUUUAUUGGAGGACAAAAGCAAGAGUCAUCAUAGAAUAUUUGGAAAAUACCAAAAUGCCCAAGGAAUGAAAUAAAAAUCCCCCCUCAAGUGUCUCUUCUUCCUUGAUAACCAAGGCUAACCUUUGGGAGACUGUGUUUUACAACUUUAACACAAACACAAACAUACUUGAAUUUUUAUCAGAAAAGCAAUCAUACUUGGCAUGCCUUUUUGUAAUCUUCUUUUUUCACUUAACAGUGAAAAAAGGUAUUCUCCCACGACAUUAAAUAUUCUUUUGCAGUGUGACGUUUAAGGAAAGAUUUGAUUUUAGGCAUAUCAAUCUCCACUAACUCCACAAACGUUCUUGAAGGACCCUCAGGCAAAAAGCGUUAUAUUAACGCUAACAUAUGCCGAGCCCAUGGGUUGAACAUCUCUCAGCGAAAGCACCAAGCGUUUUCAGGUAUGAUUUGACUUUUGAAAGCACAGAUAUGUGAGUCACUUCGAUGAGCUGGCUACGGUACAUCGAGACGGUGGAGCCCCAAACCUUUGAAACUGGGGCUUACCAGACACAGUAGCAGCCUUACCGGCAGUUUAUUUCUGCAUUUGGUUCUGAUGGCACAGAAUUUAGAAAAUUCCUGAUUCAUAGUAAAGAGGUCUAUGGGUUCCGGAGCUCUUAGAAUGUAUUGGACCCUAAGCUAUGCGGUAGGGACUGCUAGAACCCCAUUUUAUAGAGGGGCACAUGGAGGCUCAGAGUGUGGUGGAGGUGUGGUGAGAACCCAGUACUGCCUCUCUGCCUUUCUCAGAGAAUCUAAGUCACGGGCUGGGUCACUGUGAACUUGCUCCUGAGGGCACACCUGAAUUUAAAAGUAGAUUGGAAUGAAAUCCCCCCUUUCCUUGACAUGUUUACAACGUGGUCAAAUAUGUGCUCAGGGAUGGGGGAGAAGUUUCAUUCCAGGGCCUGCAGAAAAGCCUGUUAGGCCAGUUAACCUGGAGGGACUCUUGUGUGUUAAAAUAUGGUAUGUGUAACAACUACACGGCAUUUAAAAAAAUUCUGGCUUGAAAAGCAAAGCUGUACAUUGUUUAGUAUCUUAGAAACCCCUUUACUAGUUUUUGUUUUUGAAAAGUAAUAGAUUAUCUUUAUGAACAUCUUUUUCAAACAUUAUAAAGAUAUAUAUGGUGUGAAAAUUCCUCCUCUGGGCCCUCUAUCCCAUACCAUAUAUAUAUGUAUAUAGAAUUUUUAUAAAAAUGAAAUCACUUAUGCUUAUUCUGCUCCUUGCCUUAUCUACUUACAACAGAGCAUGAUGAUCGAUGACACAGCUAUACUCUGGAAUACACUGCAACAGUCAAAAAAAAAAAAAUAUAUGAAUUCAUAUAUACUGACAUGGAAAGAUGCCCAAAAUAUACAGUUAAGUGAAGGAAACAAGUUGCAAAGCAAUAUUUGAAGCACUAUUCUAUUAAGUGUGUGUGUAUGUGUGUGCUCAUAUAAGUAUAUAUAGAUAUGUCGAUAUAAACUUUUGAAAAGCCAAAAAGGACAUUUAUCAUGUAUUAAUAGCAGUUAUCUACAGAUUUGGGGGGGGAGUUUCCUGGGGAGCGGAACA